ACAUGGAGGGUUUGAUCCUGGCUCAGGGUGAACGCUGGCGGCGUGCCUUACACAUGCAAGUCGAGCGAAGCUGCUAACUGGAGC
Molecule: ribosomal RNA, 84 nt
Filed under: Thermosipho sp. 1223
Lineage: Bacteria; Thermotogati; Thermotogota; Thermotogae; Thermotogales; Fervidobacteriaceae
Description: partial 16S ribosomal RNA
Rfam family: Bacterial small subunit ribosomal RNA
Source: RNAcentral